RNAcentral lists this ribosomal RNA (301 nucleotides) under uncultured bacterium. RNAcentral's name for it is "partial 16S ribosomal RNA". It matches the Rfam family "Bacterial small subunit ribosomal RNA", at positions 509 to 807 of the family's 1533-position model. The record is from RNAcentral.
CAGCAGCCGCGGUAAUACGGAGGGAGCUAGCAUUGUUCGGAAUUACUGGGCGUAAAGCGCGCGUAGGCGGUUACUCAAGUCAGAGGUGAAAGCCCGGGGCUCAACCCCGGAACUGCCUUUGAAACUAGGUGACUAGAAUCUUGGAGAGGUCAGUGGAAUUCCGAGUGUAGAGGUGAAAUUCAUAGAUAUUCGGAAGAACACCAGUGGCGAAGGCGGCUUACUGGCUCAUUCUAGACGCUGAGGUGCGAAAGCGUGGGGAGCAAACAGGAUUAGAUACCCGCGUAGUCCCUGUCUCUUAUAC